CUCCCCCGCGCCCUUACCACAGUGUUCCAGACAUGCUGACUCAUUCUCUAAAUAGAAGAUAAGCUGACCCAAAGACUAUGUAUUAUUUAAUAGAAAAGAUUACUGAAAGCCCAGAGGGAGCCAUAUAUCUUCUGUGAUGGCUCCCUUCCUCAUUUAUUUAAUGGCAUUAUAAGCGGCGUGUCCUCUAGGUGGAAGACAUAACUAAUAUGCUCUUGCUUCUGUUUUAAGACCCAGCCUCGCCUUUAAGGAUGGCAAAUAGUGCCCUGAUCUCCGUUGGCUGCUUGGCCAUAUUUGUCACUGUGAUCUCCCUCUUGGUGUACAAAAAACACAAAGAAUACAACCCAAUAGAAAAUAGUCCUGGGAAUGUGGUCAGAAGCAAAGGCCUGAGUGUCUUUCUCAACCGUGCAAAAGCCGUGUUCUUCCCGGGAAACCAGGAAAAGGAUCCGCUACUCAAAAACCAAGAAUUUAAAGGAGUUUCUUAAAUUUCGACCUUGUUUCUGAAGCUCACUUUUCAGUGCCAUUGAUGUGAGAUGUGCUGGAGUGGCUAUUAACCUUUUUUUCCUAAAGAUUAUUGUUAAAUAGAUAUUGUGGUUUGGGGAAGUUGAAUUUUUUAUAGGUUAAAUGUCAUUUUAGAGAUGGGGAGAGGGAUUAUACUGCAGGCAGCUUCAGCCAUGUUGUGAAACUGAUAAAAGCAACUUAGCAAGGCUUCUUUUCAUUAUUUUUUAUGUUUCACUUAUAAAGUCUUAGGUAACUAGUAGGAUAGAAACACUGUGUCCUGAGAGUAAGGAGAGAAGCUACUAUUGAUUAG
This 808-nucleotide small RNA is filed under the name Pan troglodytes (chimpanzee). RNAcentral's name for it is "retained intron". Lineage: Eukaryota; Metazoa; Chordata; Mammalia; Primates; Hominidae. The record is from RNAcentral.